Molecule: ribosomal RNA, 425 nt
Filed under: uncultured bacterium
Lineage: Bacteria
Description: partial 16S ribosomal RNA
Rfam family: Bacterial small subunit ribosomal RNA
Source: RNAcentral
GUAGGGAAUCUUGCGCAAUGGGCGAAAGCCUGACGCAGCCAUGCCGCGUGAAUGAUGAAGGUCUUAGGAUUGUAAAAUUCUUUCACCGGGGACGAUAAUGACGGUACCCGGAGAAGAAGCCCCGGCUAACUUCGUGCCAGCAGCCGCAGUAAUACGAAGGGGGCUAGCGUUGCUCGGAAUUACUGGGCGUAAAGGGAGCGUAGGCGGACAGUUUAGUCAGAGGUGAAAGCCCAGGGCUCAACCUUGGAAUUGCCUUUGAUACUGGCUGUCUUGAGUACGGGAGAGGUGAGUGGAACUCCGAGUGUAGAGGUGAAAUUCGUAGAUAUUCGGAAGAACACCAGUGGCGAAGGCGACUCACUGGCCCGUUACUGACGCUGAGGCGCGAAAGCGUGGGGAGCAAACAGGAUUAGAUACCCCAGUAGUCC